GAUGAACGCUGGCGGCGUGCCUAGUACAUGCAAGUCGAGCGAACGGACGAGAAGCUUGCUUCUCUGAUGUUAGCGGCGGACGGGUGAGUAACACGUGGAUAACCUACCUAUAAGACUGGGAUAACUUCGGGAAACCGUAGCUAAUACCGGAUAAUAUUUUGAACCGCAUGGUUCAAAAGUGAAAGACGGUCUUGCUGUCACUUAUAGAUGGAUCCGCGCUGCAUUAGCUAGUUGGUAAGGUAACGGCUUACCAAGGCAACGAUGCAUAGCCGACCUGAGAGGGUGAUCGGCCACACUGGAACUGAGACACGGUCCAGACUCCUACGGGAGGCAGCAGUAGGGAAUCUUCCGCAAUGGGCGAAAGCCUGACGGAGCAACGCCGCGUGAGUGAUGAAGGUCUUCGGAUCGUAAAACUCUGUUAUUAGGGAAGAACAUAUGUGUAAGUAACUGUGCACAUCUUGACGGUACCUAAUCAGAAAGCCACGGCUAACUACGUGC
RNAcentral lists this ribosomal RNA (498 nucleotides) under uncultured bacterium. RNAcentral describes it as "partial 16S ribosomal RNA". It matches the Rfam family "Bacterial small subunit ribosomal RNA", at positions 28 to 508 of the family's 1533-position model. The record is from RNAcentral.